Non-coding RNA from Acanthosepion pharaonis, 113 nucleotides. The record is from the annotation of a GenBank genome assembly. NCBI's taxonomy places the organism in Eukaryota, Metazoa, Mollusca, Cephalopoda, Sepiida, Sepiidae.
UAUGGUCAUUUCACUUUGAAACAUCGGAUCCCGAACGAUCAGCGAAGUUAAGCAAUGUCGAGCCUGGUCAGUACCUAGAUAGGUGACCGUUUGGGAAUAUUAGGUGCUGUAAG